GACGAACGCUGGCGGCGUGCUUAACACAUGCAAGUCGAACGAUGAAGAAGAGAAACGCGAACUUCGGUUCCAAUUUCACUUCGGAUUAGUGGCAGACGGGUGAGUAACGCGUGAGCAACCUACCUCUUACAAAGGGAUAGCCUCGGGAAACCGUGAUUAAUACCAUAUGACACAUUCAUAAGGCAUCUUAAGAAUGUUAAAGCUACGGCGGUAAGAGAUGGGCUCGCGUCCCAUUAGCUAGUUGGUGAGGUAACGGCCCACCAAGGCGACGAUGGGUAACCGGCCUGAGAGGGUGAACGGUCACAUUGGAACUGAGACACGGUCCAAACUCCUACGGGAGGCAGCAGUGGGGAAUAUUGCACAAUGGAGGGAACGCUGAUGCAGCGACGCCGCGUGAGCGAUGAAGGAAUUCGUUUCGUAAAGCUCUGUUCUAUGGGAAGAAAAGGACUGUACCAUAGGAGAAAGCCCCGGCUAAAUACGUG
RNAcentral lists this ribosomal RNA (482 nucleotides) under uncultured bacterium. RNAcentral's name for it is "partial 16S ribosomal RNA". It matches the Rfam family "Bacterial small subunit ribosomal RNA", at positions 28 to 507 of the family's 1533-position model. The record is from RNAcentral.